This 831-nucleotide ribosomal RNA is filed under the name uncultured Nitrospira sp. RNAcentral's name for it is "bacterial SSU rRNA". It matches the Rfam family "Bacterial small subunit ribosomal RNA", at positions 62 to 887 of the family's 1533-position model. Lineage: Bacteria; Pseudomonadati; Nitrospirota; Nitrospiria; Nitrospirales; Nitrospiraceae. The record is from RNAcentral.
UCGAGCGAGAAGGUGUAGUUGAUACACUUGAUAAAGCGGCGAACGGGUGAGGAAUACAUGGGAUAAUCUACCAUCGAGUGGGGAAUAACCAACCGAAAGGUUGGCUAAUACCGCGUACGCCUCCGGAUCUUCGGGUUCGGAGGGAAAGCUGCACUGUGAGUGUAGCGCUCUUUGAUGAGCUCAUGUCCUAUCAGCUUGUUGGUAGGGUAACGGCCUACCAAGGCUUUGACGGGUAGCUGGUCUGAGAGGACGAUCAGCCACACUGGCACUGCGACACGGGCCAGACUCCUACGGGAGGCAGCAGUAAGGAAUAUUGCGCAAUGGGCGAAAGCCUGACGCAGCGACGCCGCGUGGGGGAUGAAGGUCUUCGGAUUGUAAACCCCUUUCGGGAGGGAAGAUGGAGCGAGCAAUCGUUCGGACGGUACCUCCAGAAGCAGCCACGGCCAACUUCGUGCCAGCAGCCGCGGUAAUACGAAGGUGGCAAGCGUUGUUCGGAUUCACUGGGCGUACAGGGUGUGUAGGCGGUUUGGUAAGCCUUCUGUUAAAGCUUCGGGCCCAACCCGGAAAGCGCAGAGGGUACUGCCAGGCUAGAGGGUGGAAGAGGAGCGCGGAAUUCCCGGUGUAGCGGUGAAAUGCGUAAAGAUCGGGAGGAAGGCCGGUGGCGAAGGCGGCGCUCUGGAACAUACCUGACGCUGAGACACGAAAGCGUGGGGAGCAAACAGGAUUAGAUACCCUGGUAGUCCACGCCCUAAACUAUGGAUACUAAGUGUCGGCGGGUUACCGCCGGUGCCGCAGCUAACGCAUUAAGUAUCCCGCCUGGGAAGUACGGCC